This is a non-coding RNA of Vicugna pacos (alpaca), 2222 nucleotides long. Lineage: Eukaryota; Metazoa; Chordata; Mammalia; Artiodactyla; Camelidae. The record is from RefSeq and is a predicted model, not a curated record.
CAUGAGGGAACAGAGAGGUUGGCCCCACCAGAUGGCUUGCUUUAUGCCACACACAUCCUGAUCUUUGCUGUCCAUGUCUUUUUCCUAUAGUUUCCUCUGCCUGAAAAUAUUCAAGUACCCUCUAGAUGUCCAAUGUGAACUUCGCAUGGACAUGAGAAAAAUGAUCAUGAAGAUAUCUUUAUGCUUAUCACAAUUUACAGUUUAUCAAGAAGCUGAUCAACCACUUAGUUCUUAGAAAAUAAUUAGAGCCCUCUUUAUAAGACAUGCUGUGGAGGAGCUCUGGAAGUUUUGUGCGACUCAAGGAGUAAGCCGGUUGCAACUAUAACAAAAAGCUUGCCAAGGUUGAGAGCCAAACUGGCAAGGUUUUCUGUUGUGUCAGCAUUUAAGUAUUAUUGCAAUGUUAUCGUAUCACUGACGAAAGGGGAGCAUGGAAACAGCAGAGCCAAAUGCUAAGGAACAUUUGAAGGAAAGUGUGUACCUAGCUUCAAAAGAGAGUUUGGCAGAGUUGGACAGGGUUUAAUUUUAAUAGGAACCAGUCAAUUCAACUUUAAUUUGAUCAUAUGAAAUUGUGCUUUUAAAAUUUACUCCAGGAGAUCUGAAUUCCAACAGUCUUUCUGAAUCAGAUAGUGGUCAAGAAUAAUAAAGAAUUUAAGUCUGAAAACUUGCAACAUCAGAUGAAAACUUGUUUGUGUUAUAAAGAAAUUUCCACUGGUCAGAGUGGGAAGAACAAAUUUCUUUUGAAGGGAAAUGUGAGAGCAAUAAAUUUGAGAUUUUUGCCUCCUUCAUGUAUUAACAUGUCCAGGUAAAAGGCUAUGAAAAUUUGGACAUUUGUCAUGAGAAACCACAGUAAAGUUCAUGAUGUGAGCAAAGAUUGUACCAAUAUCAGAAAAGUCAACUGAGAGAAAAAGAUGAAAGCAAGAGCUGGAAGCAAAAUGAAUUAACCUAUCACUAACACUAAUAUGUCUACUGAGGGGGAAAGCUUACAGCAACAUUUUGAUCAUACCAUGCAACAUAUUAUGAAAGAUGUGCUGCACUAGAUUAGAAAUUUUCCUUCUUUUUUUUUUUUUUUUUUUUUUGGAACUAAGUGAAAACUAGAGGGGAGGAGGCAAAGAAACAUGCACUCUCCAGAAAUAACUUUCUCCUCCACUACUGAUGGUUUCUGUUGUUCUUCUCAGGUCAGCCGUGGACAUACACAUAAGUGAUUCAGGAGGGUUAAAAAUUGAAGUAGUGAGUGGAACAGCUUUACCCACGUUCACUAUUUGCCUCACUUGCUUUCCAAUUCCCUGUAGUUAGAGUCAAAUAUAUUCUCACCCAGUGAUCAGUGUUGGUUUUCAAGUGACACUCUGCAUGUGGAGCUCAGGAAAACCAGACACCUACAGGAAUGUGUUGAAGAAAUGGGAUAGCAAGGCCGCCAAGUGACUCAGUCUCUGCUUCCAUUCCCUGGGGUUUAUCAACUUUGUUAAUGGGGCAUAUGUGCUGAGAAUUAUGUAACAUUAAACACGAGGAACAUUUCCUGGAGACAUUUCUCAUUCUUCCUCAAAGCCAAUGCAUUGAUAAGUUUACUGUCCAGGUAAAACACCACCCUCUAGUGUACGUCUCUAAAUAAUGCUGCUGUGACUCCUCUGAUGAUAAUGAUGAUAACAGUCAAGAACAUUAGCAUAAGUAUUACAAUGAAGGUCAUUUCCCCCUAGUAUCCACAGGGCAAUACAUACAAGGACGGACUGCACAGUGGAGAUAUAACUCAUUGGUGUGUUCACAGUAACUGCUGAUUUUCAGUCAAAAGGAAGCAAUCAGUUGGCUUGAUGAAAAGAAUUCAACAAAGCUUAUUCAUUUCACAAGUGUUUAGUGAGAAUUUGGUGUGGGACAAAUGUUCUAUGACGCAAGAAGGAUGCUGACCACUUAAACUAUGAAAUAAAAGAAAAGUAUUCCAAGAGGUGAACAUUCUCUGAGAAAACCCAUGAUGCCUGCUCUUUAGGAAAACAACAUAACUUGCUACAGUCAAGGUGGCAUUCAGUUACCUGAAGACAGCUAAAAUGUACUAACAGAAACACAAAAUUUUCUCAGAAAUCCUCAAAAUAAUUGACAAAUAAAAUGUGACUCCCCCUAUCUCCUAAGGAGAAAAAAAUUAAUUUAUAAAAGUCUAGAUUAGAAGAUUUUUGAUGUUAUAUAGGCUGAUUCCAUGUGAAGAAAAAAAAAAGAGAUAGAGCAAUUAAAAGUAUUCU